RNAcentral lists this long non-coding RNA (2164 nucleotides) under Mytilus galloprovincialis (Mediterranean mussel). The record is from RNAcentral. Lineage: Eukaryota; Metazoa; Mollusca; Bivalvia; Mytilida; Mytilidae.
CUUGGUUUGAUCAGUGUGGUAAAUAUCAUUAUUACUGCUGCACUCUUCAUUCCUGUUCUAAGAAGAAUAAACAUAUCUUUUCUGGGAAGAAGUGGAAAAAUGUUUAUCACAUAAACCAAGACAGCAAUACGUCGUCUAACACGGAAUCGAUUCCUCAGUCAAACAAGACGUGUUCAAUAGAUUCCUAUACACAUAAUUAUGUACCAAACCAAAUUAAACCAGGUGGAAUUGGUGUAACGAAGUGUAUUUCAAAUCCUGAUGUGAAUUAUAAAAAGAAGGAAUUUUUAAACAUUAGAUCCAAUAAAGAGCCAUCUCCAGAUGAUGUAGAAAAUGGAACAUCUUUCGAUAAUACCACCAAAUCUGAGGAUAUAGUACAAUCGAACAAGGAAACUAACCCGGAAGUAAAUUCAAAGACUAGGAAAGAUUUAGUGAAAAGAAGAAUAACCAUAAUGUAUUUUGUCAUAAUUAUUACCUAUAUUGUAUCAUAUAUACCCUCUUUGCUUAUUUUAAUACUUGCUUAUGCAAUAGGAGAUUUUAAUGUCAUAACAUUAACAGAGGGCGAAACAUUUGCGUGGACAUAUUUUUCACGCUUCGUUUUUCUAAACCAUAUAGUGAAUCCCUUUAUAUAUAGUUAUUUUGAUGUAAAGUUUAGAACAGAAUUGAAAACAUGUUUAUGGACAAACGUUAAGUGAUCAGUCACAGUCAAAACUUAACUUUACGAGUGUCAUAUUGGUCAAUAUCUGUACUUGUUGUUACAUAGGCGGUAAUGGUAACGUUUUUACUUGUAGCUCAGUCCAUAUCGUAAACUUGGAUAUGUAUGAUAGUUCGUUUCGAAGCUUUGACAUUUUCACAUAUGUGGUUAAAUUUUCGGGGAAGGAAGUGAAAUUACUUUUUCCGUUAAUUAGCAUACCCCGAACAUCCAUCCUUUCGUGAUUCGACUCCUUGUGGUAAAAAAAAACCCUUUUUAAGACAAUGAGUUCUUUGAAAAUGUGAUAUGUUGAACACAUUUAAUACCUCCAUAGUUUUUACACAUUUAUUCUGUGUUCCUCUACUUUUCUUAUCACCACAAAAGGUUAAGCUCAGUCAUUUGAAAAAAAAGAAACAUGUCCAAUAUCAAUUCACAGAGAUUUUUUGAUUACACGUGACUUUUGAGUUCCUCUUAUCGAGGAGCAUUAGGGAUAUUGUCCCAUAUAUAAUACAGAAGCAGGAGUUACCAGGGGGUUGUUAAAGCUCAGACGUGAAAAAGAAACAGGCCACGCUUUGAUAAAGAUAAAAAAGUCGAACAUGCGAACAAUAAUUAUAACAAGCACAACGUAGAAAAUUAACGAAUGAUUAACACAAACCCCAACCUUAAUAAGUAGGGGUGAUCUAAUGUGUUUCGGAAGGGUACAAAUAAUCUGCUCCAUGGUAGUGUUGCUUGGGUUAUUCUCGUUUAUGUGUGUGUUACAUAUUAAUGUUGUGUUUCUGUUGUGUCCUAGUUUUCCUCUUAUAUUUGAUGCGUUUCCCUCAGUUUUAGUUUGUAACCCGGAGUUGUUUUUUUUUCUCAAUCGAUUUAUGUAUUUCGAACAGCGGUAUACUACUGUUGCUUUUUGUAUAUUACACUUGAGGAAAAGAUGACGGAAUGGUGAUUACGAUAAUUAAAACUUAUCCGUCGAUUUUCCAUAUUAGUCAAUCAGCCAAUACGUUAUUGCGAUCGUAUUUUUUUCACGAAGGGAUGACUACAAUCUUUCUUUUUAUAGGCUUAUUUGACAAACAUAGAAAACGCAGAAUAAAUAUUUGAAGUUAAAGGAGUAUACUUCAACCUCAAAUUUUCCUUAAUCUAAAGCUUCGCAUUUUAUUUUUGCAUUUGCUUUUUGUGUUAUUAUUAUACAAUUAAGAUUUAGAUAUUUUGUAUUUUUCGAACUACACAUACUUGGAAUUUAUGUAUUUUGAACGGCGAAAAUAAUUUAAAAACUGACAUAUCCCACAUAAGGUAUCGAGAAUGGUAGAACUGGCUCGAGUACUGUAUAUAAUAUUGUUUCAGAAUAUUUUUAUCCAUCUAUGAAACAAAAAGUAAAAAUAAAAUUUUACAUACACAUAAAUCUUGUUUAUUUAGCUUUUCAUAUUGUGUUUUCUAUGCACACAACUGUUUGUUUAUUAAACAUUGUCUGCAUCCAGAAAGCGC